UCCAUUCUUCAACACCUGUGCACACUUUGUAGUUGACUCUUUUGUUUAUCUGUUCAUCUCUCUCUUGACUCCGGUCUCUGUGAAGGGGUGCGUGGCUUUUCGAAAGCAAGGUCCUCUAUGUUAUUAUUAUACACCCUUUACAAAAAACAAGUCCAUAGAACGUCCAAUGUAGGCGCAGCGUAAAACACUGUUUGCUGAAAUUAUAAAACUUAUACAACUUUUAACAACGGAUCUCUUGGCUCUCGCAUCGAUGAAGAACGCAGCGAAAUGCGAUAAGUAAUGUGAAUUGCAGAAUUCAGUGAAUCAUCGAAUCUUUGAACGCACCUUGCGCUCCCUGGUAUUCCGGGGAGCAUGCCUGUUUGAGUGUCAUUAAAUUCUCAACCACACUAUGUUUUUAUUAACGUAGUUCUUGUGGCUUGGAUCCUUGGAGUUUGUGCCGGUAAACCUUUAGUUAGGUUGUUGGCUCCUCUUUAAAUGCAUUAGCUGGAACCUCUUUGUGGUGCCAGACUAUGGUGUGAUAAUUAUCUACGCUGUGGUUUGUUGCGCUGCGAAUUUAACUAUGGGGUUCUGCUUCUAAUCGUCCCUUUCAAAGGACAGUAUAGAGUGUGGUGGUGGGGUUGCUUUCAAGGGGUUCGCCUCUUUGUGUUA
This 648-nucleotide ribosomal RNA is filed under the name Typhula incarnata. Its description in RNAcentral is "eukaryotic LSU rRNA". The stretch from base 216 to 369 matches the Rfam family "5.8S ribosomal RNA". The record is from RNAcentral. Lineage: Eukaryota; Fungi; Basidiomycota; Agaricomycetes; Agaricales; Typhulaceae.